UAGGGAAUAUUGCGCAAUGGGGGAAACCCUGACGCAGCAACGCCAUGUGAGUGAGGAAGGCCUUAGGGUUGUAAAACUCUGUCAGUGGGGAAAAAUGGCAUACUGGUAAAUAAUCAGUAUGAUUGAUGGUACCCACAGAGGAAGCACCGGCAAACUUCGUGCCAGCAGCCGCGGUAAUACGAAGGGUGCGAGCGUUGUUCGGAUUUAUUGGGCGUAAAGCGCGCGCAGGCGGAUUAAUAAGUCAGGUGUGAAAUCUCGGGGCUCAACCCCGAACGUGCGCCUGAAACUGUCAAUCUAGAAUAACGGAAGGGGAAGGGGAAUUUCACAUGUAGGGGUAAAAUCCGUAGAGAUGUGAAGGAACACCAGAGGCGAAGGCGCCUUCCUGGACGUUUAUUGACGCUGAGGCGCGAAAGCGUGGGGAUCAAACAGG
Molecule: ribosomal RNA, 430 nt
Filed under: uncultured bacterium
Lineage: Bacteria
Description: bacterial SSU rRNA
Rfam family: Bacterial small subunit ribosomal RNA
Source: RNAcentral